AUAAUGGGUCAGCGACUUAUAUUCUGUAGCAAGGUUAACCGAAUAGGGGAGCCGAAGGGAAACCGAGUCUUAACUGGGCGUUAAGUUGCAGGGUAUAGACCCGAAACCCGGUGAUCUAGCCAUGGGCAGGUUGAAGGUUGGGUAACACUAACUGGAGGACCGAACCGACUAAUGUUGAAAAAUUAGCGGAUGACUUGUGGCUGGGGGUGAAAGGCCAAUCAAACCGGGAGAUAGCUGGUUCUCCCCGAAAGCUAUUUAGGUAGCGCCUCGUGAAUUCAUCUCCGGGGGUAGAGCACUGUUUCGGCAAGGGGGUCAUCCCGACUUACCAACCCGAUGCAAACUGCGAAUACCGGAGAAUGUUAUCACGGGAGACACACGGCGGGUGCUAACGUCCGUCGUGAAGAGGGAAACAACCCAGACCGCCAGCUAAGGUCCCAAAGUCAUGGUUAAGUGGGAAACGAUGUGGGAAGGCCCAGACAGCCAGGAUGUUGGCUUAGAAGCAGCCAUCAUUUAAAGAAAGCGUAAUAGCUCACUGGUCGAGUCGGCCUGCGCGGAAGAUGUAACGGGGCUAAACCAUGCACCGAAGCUGCGGCAGCGACGCUUAUGCGUUGUUGGGUAGGGGAGCGUUCUGUAAGCCUGUGAAGGUGUACUGUGAGGUAUGCUGGAGGUAUCAGAAGUGCGAAUGCUGACAUAAGUAACGAUAAAGCGGGUGAAAAGCCCGCUCGCCGGAAGACCAAGGGUUCCUGUCCAACGUUAAUCGGGGCAGGGUGAGUCGACCCCUAAGGCGAGGCCGAAAGGCGUAGUCGAUGGGAAACAGGUUAAUAUUCCUGUACUUGGUGUUACUGCGAAGGGGGGACGGAGAAGGCUAUGUUGGCCGGGCGACGGUUGUCCCGGUUUAAG
This 900-nucleotide ribosomal RNA is filed under the name Escherichia coli. RNAcentral describes it as "partial 23S ribosomal RNA". It matches the Rfam family "Bacterial large subunit ribosomal RNA", at positions 612 to 1516 of the family's 2925-position model. The record is from RNAcentral. Lineage: Bacteria; Pseudomonadati; Pseudomonadota; Gammaproteobacteria; Enterobacterales; Enterobacteriaceae.